ACUCCUACGGGAGGCAGCAGUGGGGAAUAUUGCACAAUGGGCGCAAGCCUGAUGCAGCCAUGCCGCGUGUGUGAAGAAGGCCUUCGGGUUGUAAAGCACUUUCAGUUGUGAGGAAGGUGGUGUCGUUAAUAGCGGCAUCAUUUGACGUUAGCAACAGAAGAAGCACCGGCUAACUCCGUGCCAGCAGCCGCGGUAAUACGGAGGGUGCGAGCGUUAAUCGGAAUUACUGGGCGUAAAGCGCAUGCAGGUGGUUUGUUAAGUCAGAUGUGAAAGCCCGGGGCUCAACCUCGGAACUGCAUUUGAAACUGGCAGACUAGAGUACUGUAGAGGGGGUGAGAAGUUUCA
This 345-nucleotide ribosomal RNA is filed under the name uncultured bacterium. RNAcentral describes it as "bacterial SSU rRNA". It matches the Rfam family "Bacterial small subunit ribosomal RNA", at positions 335 to 672 of the family's 1533-position model. The record is from RNAcentral.